CAUUAAAGCGGUACGCGAGCUGGGUUCAGAACGUCGUGAGACAGUUCGGUCCCUAUCUGUUGUGGGCGUUGGAAAUUUGAGGAGAGCUGCCCCUAGUACGAGAGGACCAGGGUGGACGUUCCUACGGUGCACCAGUUGUCACGCCAGUGGCAUAGCUGGAUAGCUGAGAACGGACCGGAUAAACGCUGAAGGCAUCUAAGCGUGAAACCGACUCCAAGAUUAGAUUUCCCAUCAUUUCAAAUGAAUAAGACCCCUUGAAGACGACGAGGUUGAUAGGUCAGAGAUGUAAGUGUAGCGAUACAUUCAGUUGACUGAUACUAAUAGGUCGAGCACUUGACCA
Molecule: ribosomal RNA, 340 nt
Filed under: [Eubacterium] sulci
Lineage: Bacteria; Bacillati; Bacillota; Clostridia; Peptostreptococcales; Anaerovoracaceae
Description: partial 23S ribosomal RNA
Rfam family: Bacterial large subunit ribosomal RNA
Source: RNAcentral